UUUACCAAUUUGGAACUGUGCCCUUUUGCUUUGACUGCGAUUAUACUUGCGACAGGAAAUAAAAUUUGACUCCCCCGUGUGCCCGUUUUAGUUUAGAAGAUGAAACGAAUUUUUUUACAUUUUGCCGACUUUGCUCACACAGAACCAGAAAGAUUUAUUGUUUUAGAUUAGGUAAGGAUCCCUGAGGUGGAUAUAAAAGAGCAUUACUGUCUGUAAAGCCUCCACCAGUCCUAGCAGGAUUUCUUAGAGAGAAUCGAGGCAAGUCAUACACACUUUUGCUCUUACCAGGCCAAUAGAAGAAGAUGCCAUUCGAUGCAGCAGAUUCUCCUAUUCCUAUUGAUUAACGUCCCAUCAGGAGCUAUUCUUUCGCAAAGAGCUUCCACAAAUUAAGAGUUUAUUCAUGCGCAACAACUUCUUCUAAUUCUAUAGCAGUCUUCUACCUCACACCGGUGACUGAAGCAGCAGUCGUGGACAACAACUUCUUCUAAUUCUAUAGCAGUCUUCUAUCUAACAUCGGUGACUCAAGCAACGGUUAUUCGUAUAGACCAAGAGUUCCUACUGCCACACUAGUAAUUCCAUCAAAACACUUUGUCGAGACACUCAUUUGCUUUCUCCUUUUCGAUGCCAUCUCAUAUUUCCCCUGAGAUGUCACUUCGACUAUUCAAAGUUGAGUUAUAAAAUAAAAUAUUGCAAUAUCUUGUGUACAACACAAAUAAAAUAUUUAUUUAUUUGCUUUA
Populus trichocarpa (black cottonwood) is the source of this 737-nucleotide long non-coding RNA. RefSeq lists it as uncharacterized. Lineage: Eukaryota; Viridiplantae; Streptophyta; Magnoliopsida; Malpighiales; Salicaceae. The transcript has 2 exons. The record is from RefSeq and is a predicted model, not a curated record.